AAGCAAUGAGGUGUACCAUGCAAGGACCAAACAUAUGUUAGGUAAAAAAUAAAUGCAUAGAGAAAAAAUAGGAACAUAAUAACAACAUGGGAGAUUAACGCAUAAACUCCAAUACUGGAGAAAAAACCACGACUAUUGUCAAAUGACAACCAAAUAAUAACAAUAUGUGAAAAUUGUUACAACACAUAGACUGUCCUCAACCAACCUAAG
RNAcentral lists this long non-coding RNA (210 nucleotides) under Lathyrus oleraceus (garden pea). RNAcentral describes it as "Pisum sativum (pea) long non-coding RNA (PSAT_LNC024776)". The record is from RNAcentral. Lineage: Eukaryota; Viridiplantae; Streptophyta; Magnoliopsida; Fabales; Fabaceae.